RNAcentral lists this ribosomal RNA (497 nucleotides) under uncultured bacterium. RNAcentral's name for it is "partial 16S ribosomal RNA". It matches the Rfam family "Bacterial small subunit ribosomal RNA", at positions 28 to 507 of the family's 1533-position model. The record is from RNAcentral.
GAUGAACGCUGGCGCCGUGCCUAAUACAUGCAAGUCGAGCGAACGGACGAGAAGCUUGCUUCUCUGAUGUUAGCGGCGGACGGGUGAGUAACACGUGGAUAACCUACCUAUAAGACUGGGAUAACUUCGGGAAACCGGAGCUAAUACCGGAUGAUAUUUUGAACCGCAUGGUUCAAAAGUGAAAGACGGUCUUGCUGUCACUUAUAGAUGGAUCCGCGCUGCAUUAGCUAGUUGGUAAGGUAACGGCUUACCAAGGCAACGAUGCAUAGCCGACCUGAGAGGGUGAUCGGCCACACUGGAACUGAGACACGGUCCAGACUCCUACGGGAGGCAGCAGUAGGGAAUCUUCCGCAAUGGGCGAAAGCCUGACGGAGCAACGCCGCGUGAGUGAUGAAGGUCUUCGGAUCGUAAAACUCUGUUAUUAGGGAAGAACAUAUGUGUAAGUAACUGUGCACAUCUUGACGGUACCUAAUCAGAAAGCCACGGCUAACUACGUG